This 807-nucleotide ribosomal RNA is filed under the name uncultured bacterium. RNAcentral's name for it is "bacterial SSU rRNA". It matches the Rfam family "Bacterial small subunit ribosomal RNA", at positions 8 to 796 of the family's 1533-position model. The record is from RNAcentral.
AGAGUUUGAUCCUGGCUCAGAAUCAACGCUGGCGGCGUGCCUAACACAUGCAAGUCGAACGCGAAAGCCCGCAAGGGUGAGUAGAGUGGCAAACGGGUGAGUAACACGUGGGUGACCUGCCUCAGAGUGGGGGAUAACGACCCGAAAGGGUCGCUAAUACCGCAUAACAUCCUGCGCUUGGACGCGCAGAGAUCAAAGCCGGGGAUCGCAAGACCUGGCGCUUGGAGAGGGGCCCGCGGCCGAUUAGCUAGUUGGUGAGGUAAUGGCUCACCAAGGCAACGAUCGGUAUCCGGCCUGAGAGGGCGGACGGACACACUGGGACUGAGACACGGCCCAGACUCCUACGGGAGGCAGCAGUGGGGAAUUGUUCGCAAUGGGCGCAAGCCUGACGACGCAACGCCGCGCGGAGGAUGAAGAUCUUCGGGUCGUAAACUCCUUUCGAUCGGGAAGAACGUUUCCGGGGUGAAUAAUCCCGGGAAGUGACGGUACCGAGAGAAGAGGCCCCGGCUAACUCUGUGCCAGCAGCCGCGGUAAUACAGGGGGGGCAAGCGUUGUUCGGAAUUACUGGGCGUAAAGGGCCAGUAGGCGGCCAACUAAGUCCGACGUGAAAUCCCCAGGCUUAACCUGGGAACUGCGUCGGAUACUGGAUGGCUUGAAUUCGGGAGAGGGAUGCAGAAUUCCAGGUGUAGCGGUGAAAUGCGUAGAUAUCUGGAGGAAUACCGGUGGCGAAGGCGGCAUCCUGGACCGACAUUGACGCUGAACGGCGAAAGCUAGGGGAGCAAACGGGAUUAGAUACCCUGGUAGUCC